This is a long non-coding RNA of Malaya genurostris, 495 nucleotides long. RefSeq lists it as uncharacterized. Lineage: Eukaryota; Metazoa; Arthropoda; Insecta; Diptera; Culicidae. The transcript has 3 exons. The record is from RefSeq and is a predicted model, not a curated record.
GAAGUUUGAAAACACUAUUCAUGUAGUCCAUAUCAACAGAAUUUAUGUAGUAAGCACAUUAUCGUAUAGUGUUUUUUAACCGACUAUGUUUUUCAUUUGUGCUGACUAUACAAAUUGUCAAUAAACGGAUAUACUUUGUUAUUGUCACAUAAAGUUACAAUACAGAAGACAAUUUCGUAACACAUCAGUGAUUGAUUUGAAAAAAAAAAUGUAUAUUGUGACUUAUAUUGUGCAAUUUGGAAGUUCUUGCAGUGAAAUCGACGUCCUGUAUAAUUUUUAUUAUUCGUUAUCGGUCGCUGUAGAAACAACAUCAAGCGAUUGAUUAAAAACGACGAACAUCAUCCGAUUCCCGGAUUCAAAUCGCUCGAAUCCGACGGAAAAAUAACAAUAUAUGGCAGGAAAAACUUCAACGAACAAAGCCUGGGAUCAACAGUUGCAACCAAGCAAUGCUGCUCCGUGUCUACGUUGAUAAUCAAUAUUUCAUCAGGCACAUCA